Molecule: transfer RNA, 64 nt
Filed under: Cryptotermes declivis
Lineage: Eukaryota; Metazoa; Arthropoda; Insecta; Blattodea; Kalotermitidae
Description: tRNA-Thr
Rfam family: tRNA
About the family: Transfer RNA (tRNA) molecules are approximately 80 nucleotides in length. Their secondary structure includes four short double-helical elements and three loops (D, anti-codon, and T loops). Further hydrogen bonds mediate the characteristic L-shaped molecular structure. tRNAs have two regions of fundamental functional importance: the anti-codon, which is responsible for specific mRNA codon recognition, and the 3' end, to which the tRNAs corresponding amino acid is attached (by aminoacyl-tRNA synthetases). tRNAs cope with the degeneracy of the genetic code in two manners: having more than one tRNA (with a specific anti-codon) for a particular amino acid; and 'wobble' base-pairing, i.e. permitting non-standard base-pairing at the 3rd anti-codon position.
Source: RNAcentral
GUUUUAGUAAUUUAAUAAAAAUAUUGGUCUUGUAAACCAAAAAUAAGCAUAGCCUUUUAAAACU